RNAcentral lists this ribosomal RNA (455 nucleotides) under uncultured bacterium. RNAcentral describes it as "bacterial SSU rRNA". It matches the Rfam family "Bacterial small subunit ribosomal RNA", at positions 28 to 484 of the family's 1533-position model. The record is from RNAcentral.
GAUGAACGCUAGCGGCAGGCUUAACACAUGCAAGUCGAGGGGUAUUUAUCUUCGGAUAGAGAGACCGGCGCACGGGUGCGUAACGCGUAUGCAAUCUACCUUUCACAGAGGGAUAGCCCAGAGAAAUUUGGAUUAAUACCUCAUAGUAUAGCGACCUGGCAUCAGGAUGUUAUUAAAGUCACAACGGUGAAAGAUGAGCAUGCGUCCCAUUAGCUAGUUGGUAAGGUAACGGCUUACCAAGGCUACGAUGGGUAGGGGUCCUGAGAGGGAGAUCCCCCACACUGGUACUGAGACACGGACCAGACUCCUACGGGAGGCAGCAGUGAGGAAUAUUGGAUAAUGGGCGCAAGCCUGAUCCAGCCAUGCCGCGUGCAGGAUGACGGUCCUAUGGAUUGUAAACUGCUUUUAUACGAGAAGAAACAACAUUACGUGUAAUGUCUUGACGGUAUCGUAAG